This is a small nuclear RNA of Pteronotus mesoamericanus, 167 nucleotides long. RefSeq annotates it as U1 spliceosomal RNA. The transcript has a single exon. Lineage: Eukaryota; Metazoa; Chordata; Mammalia; Chiroptera; Mormoopidae. The record is from RefSeq and is a predicted model, not a curated record.
UCACUCACCAGGCAGGGGAGACACCACGAUCACAAAUAUGGUUUUCCCAGGGUGAGGCUUAUCCAUUGUACAACAGAUGUGCUGACCCCUGCAAUCUCCCCAAAUGUAGAAAACUCAACUGCAUAGUUUGUGGUAGUGGAGGACUGGGGUGGGGGGAAGGCCCGCUA